AUUGAACGCUGGCGGCAGGCCUAACACAUGCAAGUCGAGCGGUAGAGAGAAGCUUGCUUCUCUUGAGAGCGGCGGACGGGUGAGUAAUGCCUAGGAAUCUGCCUGGUAGUGGGGGAUAACGUUCGGAAACGGACGCUAAUACCGCAUACGUCCUACGGGAGAAAGCAGGGGACCUUCGGGCCUUGCGCUAUCAGAUGAGCCUAGGUCGGAUUAGCUAGUUGGUGGGGUAAUGGCUCACCAAGGCGACGAUCCGUAACUGGUCUGAGAGGAUGAUCAGUCACACUGGAACUGAGACACGGUCCAGACUCCUACGGGAGGUAGCAGUGGGGAAUAUUGGACAAUGGGCGAAAGCCUGAUCCAGCCAUGCCGCGUGUGUGAAGAAGGUCUUCGGAUUGUAAAGCACUUUAAGUUGGGAGGAAGGGUUGUAGAUUAAUACUCUGCAAUUUUGACGUUACCGACAGAAUAAGCACCGGCUAACUCUGUG
This 484-nucleotide ribosomal RNA is filed under the name uncultured bacterium. RNAcentral describes it as "partial 16S ribosomal RNA". It matches the Rfam family "Bacterial small subunit ribosomal RNA", at positions 30 to 507 of the family's 1533-position model. The record is from RNAcentral.